GACGAACGCUGGCGGCGUGCCUAAUACAUGCAAGUUGAGCGCUGAAGGUUGGUACUUGUACCAACUGGAUGAGCAGCGAACGGGUGAGUAACGCGUGGGGAAUCUGCCUUUGAGCGGGGGACAACAUUUGGAAACGAAUGCUAAUACCGCAUAAAAACUUUAAACACAAGUUUUAAGUUUGAAAGAUGCAAUUGCAUCACUCAAAGAUGAUCCCGCGUUGUAUUAGCUAGUUGGUGAGGUAAAGGCUCACCAAGGCGAUGAUACAUAGCCGACCUGAGAGGGUGAUCGGCCACAUUGGGACUGAGACACGGCCCAAACUCCUACGGGAGGCAGCAGUAGGGAAUCUUCGGCAAUGGACGAAAGUCUGACCGAGCAACGCCGCGUGAGUGAAGAAGGUUGUCGGAUCGUAAAACUCUGUUGGUAGAGAAGAACGUUUGUGAGAGUGGAAAGCUCAUCAAGUGACGGUAACUACCCAGAAAGGGACGGCUAACUACGUG
RNAcentral lists this ribosomal RNA (497 nucleotides) under uncultured bacterium. Its description in RNAcentral is "partial 16S ribosomal RNA". It matches the Rfam family "Bacterial small subunit ribosomal RNA", at positions 28 to 507 of the family's 1533-position model. The record is from RNAcentral.